CACGUAGGGUGCAAGCGUUGUCCGGAUUCAUUGGGCGUAAAGGGCUAGUAGGCGGCUUAGCAAGUCGGGUGUGAAAACUUCAGGCUCAACCUGGAGCUGCCAUCCGAUACUGCUAUGGCUAGAGUCCGGAAGAGGAGAGUGGAAUUCCUGGUGUAGCGGUGAAAUGCGCAGAUAUCAGGAAGAACACCCGUGGCUAAGGCGGCUCUCUAGUACGGUACUGACGCUGAGACGCGAAAGCGUGGGGAGCGAACAGG
This 254-nucleotide ribosomal RNA is filed under the name uncultured bacterium. Its description in RNAcentral is "partial 16S ribosomal RNA". It matches the Rfam family "Bacterial small subunit ribosomal RNA", at positions 524 to 776 of the family's 1533-position model. The record is from RNAcentral.